This 535-nucleotide unclassified non-coding RNA is filed under the name plant metagenome. RNAcentral describes it as "partial contains 5.8S ribosomal RNA, internal transcribed spacer 2, and large subunit ribosomal RNA". The stretch from base 1 to 104 matches the Rfam family "5.8S ribosomal RNA", at positions 50 to 154 of the family's 154-position model. The record is from RNAcentral.
GAACUGUGAUACGUGAUGUGAAUUGCAGGACACGUGAAUCAUCAAAUUCUUGAACGCAAGUUGCGCCCUCGGGCUAUCCUGAGGGCACGCUCGUUUGAGCGUCACUUAUAAAUUCAUGGAGACUCUUUCUUUUUUUGGUUCUUUCCUGGCUCUUUUGGAGCUGUCUUUCCUCCUGGCCCUCGAGGCUAUGGGUAUGUGGGGACAGGGCCUGGAACUGGUGAACGGAACAAAAAGGGGAAUCUCUGAUUCGGCCGUAAUCGCAGCCUUUUCAAAGGAUGCGGCUUCGGCUAGGAACUAUUGAAGACAGCUUCGUACUGCUUUUUGUGCAUACCAAAAACUGCGGGCUGUGGAUGGGUGCGUCCCAACCAACUUGCAGUUGCACAAAGCUGGUAUCAGAGGAUCUGGCUUCAGGCAUUGACAACGAGUCCUUCACACCGACUCGUGGCCAAGCUAUUGUCGAGUGGGGGUGGGAACCCCUCUCCACUCACAACCACAGUGACCUCAAAUCGAGCGGAGCCACCCGCUGAAUUUAAGC